This is a long non-coding RNA of Neopelma chrysocephalum (saffron-crested tyrant-manakin), 433 nucleotides long. RefSeq lists it as uncharacterized. The record is from RefSeq and is a predicted model, not a curated record. Lineage: Eukaryota; Metazoa; Chordata; Aves; Passeriformes; Pipridae. The transcript is spliced from 3 exons.
UCUUUCCCAGAGGCACUUUGGACCCGGCUCUGGGAUGGAUUGACCCUUUGGGUUGCUCAGGAGGGCAAAUGGGAACACUGGGAACACCCAGGAGCUGCAGGUUGUGAUCUCAGCAAACUGCUUUUAUUCAGCACUCUGGGAACCCUGGCUGGGGCUCAGCUGCUGUGUCCAUAAACCCCUUUCCUGGGAGCAAACAGCUCUUUUCCAGCUGGGCACAAACAUGGAAUUAUCCUUUAUUUUUUCUGAGGAGCAGCUCAGAGCUUGUUCUGCUGAGUGGAGCUGCUUUCCUGUGCAGGAGGUGCAGCUCCUCACACCUUUCCCAGCCAGGAGUGGGUUGGUGCUCCUUGGCUGGAGUUGGCUCAGCCCGAAGCGAGAGGCCCCUGGUUGACCUGAAUACCCCACUCACCACAGGAUGAGGAGCCCAACCAAACAG